Long non-coding RNA from Orcinus orca (killer whale), 1867 nucleotides. RefSeq lists it as uncharacterized. The transcript has 2 exons. Lineage: Eukaryota; Metazoa; Chordata; Mammalia; Artiodactyla; Delphinidae. The record is from RefSeq and is a predicted model, not a curated record.
CUUGAAAUCUUUUAUCAGAUGUUAACUAGCUAUGUCAACUAUCUUCUGGCAAUAUUUGAUUAAAAUGUAUCUUUUUGGUUGAUAAUUAUCUGGUAAAUCUUUCUCCAUGCUCUGUCAACCUUUGCAUUCUUAUGUUUGUGGUGUAAACAGAGCAUGGCUAGAAUUUUUAAAAUCUACUCAAGUGUAUUUUUUUUACUAUUUCUUUUAAUGUGGGUUUUGGGUAGUAAACCUGGGAAGCUGUCGGUUUGUUCAUUUUGUGCUUUGUUUUGUCUUCAUUCUUGAAAAAUAUUCUGAGUGUAGAAUUCCAGAUGGUCAGUUUUCACCACCCCAAAGCUAUUAUUCCACUGUCUUCUGGCUUCCAUCACUCUGCUUGAGAAGUUAGCAUUAGUCUAAUAGUUCAUUUUCUCCAUUUCCUCUCUGGCUUCUAUAAAAUCUUCUCUUUUUGGUAUUUUGAAGUUUCAUUACAUAUCUAGAUGUUUGUUUGUUUUAAUUAUGUCUGUCUGUCACUGGGUUUCCUGGAUCUGAUAUUCUCUCUUCCAAUUUUGUCUCUGCUUGAUUUUUCUCCUUCUGAAACUUUUUUUUUCCUUCUGAAACCCUGAUUAAAUAUGUCAAAUCUUACUCAAGUCUCCUUGUUUCUUAACCUCUUUUGUAUUUUGUACUGAAUUCCGGAUAGUGUUUUUGAACUAUCUUCUCAUUUGCAAAUUUUUUCAGCAGCGUGAUUUGUUCAAUGUGUCCAAGUUUUAUAUUUUUAAUCACGAUAUCUUUCAGCUCUAGAAUUCUGUUUCGUUCUCUCUCUAAUCCACAGGGUAGGUUCUGCCCUCUGCUCAUCUUUCAAUCUUCUCUUUAUUUCUUUAAGCAUAUUAAAGUUAUCAUGUAAUCUGGGUGUGAUGGCUCCAAUACCGGAAGUCUUUGUCUCUUUCCAUUGUUUGUUCAUUUUGCAUUUCUCAUCCACAAGUGUUGCUUUAGAUUGGAAGCUGCUUACUUUCCUUAGAAAGCAAUCGCUAGGAAUUCUUUCAGGUUUGAUUUGAAGUUGUGUUCUUCCAGGGAGUAUUUGUGUGCUUGAGUAUAAUGCUAACAGUGUCUUGUUCUAAGACAGCGUCUUGUUCUAAAUGCUCUGUCUGCAGUCUCUUUGGAACACGUUGGCAAUACGGAUUUGGACCAAAAGCCCUCAUGAAGAUAAGCUUACAGACAUGAAUCCUCAGAGGAGAUUUCCUCUCUUCACCCAGUACCAAGGGCAAGAUGGUGUUUCACUGCUGGCCUCUUCUGCGUGUCUACUAAGUAGAGCACAUCUGCCAUGAAACAUCAGCAGAGAAUGACUUCAUUAAAUAUUAAAUACUGUUUUCUGCCUUCACAACAAAACCCUCAAAUGGUGGAAGCGUCCAGGAGGGCAACCAAACUCAUUCUGAGCUGCAAAGUGCUCCUUGCAAAAGUCAGCCCGUUGCUGUGCUACUGGUCCCCCGUGAGUAAUGACCCACUGGCUGCUUGUCCAGUUUGAACAAUUGUUACGACAGCAUCUCUAAUACUGGUUUUCGCAGAAGCUUGAGACAACGUAUUUGUGGAUUAGAAACAAUCUUCGAGGCUUGUAAAAUUUGCCCAACACUCAAUAAUAAUUCAAAAUGAGAGACAAAGGAGGGUAUGUCAUAGGCCUUACAUUCCUUUUUCCCAAAUCCAUUCCUUUGCUUUGAUGUACAUAAUGGAAGUACAAGAUUUUAACCUAUUUGACAUUCACUUUGGAAUUUUCCCCUUCUAUAAUUUUUAAAUUCCCUUGAAAAAUCUCAGGGACCAUUGGUUUUCCUAUUAGUACCAUCUGCUGGUCUGGACAUUCUGACUGGGUUCUGGUUUGUAAGCUUCAAUACACUGAAGAAAA